AGAGUUUGAUCCUGGCUCAGAUUGAACGCUGGCGGCAUGCUUUACACAUGCAAGUCGAACGGCAGCGCGGGGGCAACCCUGGCGGCGAGUGGCGAACGGGUGAGUAAUGUAUCGGAACGUAUCCUGUAAUGGGGGAUAACCAGUCGAAAGAUUGGGUAAUACCGCAUACGCACGAGAGUGGAAAGUAGGGGAUCGCAAGACCUUACGUUAUAGGAGCGGCCGAUAUCUGAUUAGCUAGUUGGUGGGGUAAAGGCCUACCAAGGCGACGAUCAGUAGCUGGUCUGGGAGGACGACCAGCCACACUGGGACUGAGACACGGCCCAGACUCCUACGGGAGGCAGCAGUGGGGAAUUUUGGACAAUGGGCGAAAGCCUGAUCCAGCCAUGCCGCGUGCAGGAAGAAGGCCUUCGGGUUGUAAACUGCUUUAGUCUAGGAAAAAGGGGUGCGAGGUUAAUACCCUCGUGCUUUGAUGGUACUGGAAGAAUAAGCACCGGCUAACUACGUGCCAGCAGCCGCGGUAAUACGUAGGGUGCGAGCGUUAAUCGGAAUUACUGGGCGUAAAGCGUGCGCAGGCGGUCUUGUAAGACAGUCGUGAAAUCCCUGGGCUUAACCUAGGAACUGCGAUUGUGA
RNAcentral lists this ribosomal RNA (630 nucleotides) under uncultured beta proteobacterium. RNAcentral describes it as "bacterial SSU rRNA". It matches the Rfam family "Bacterial small subunit ribosomal RNA", at positions 8 to 632 of the family's 1533-position model. Lineage: Bacteria; Pseudomonadati; Pseudomonadota; Betaproteobacteria. The record is from RNAcentral.